RNAcentral lists this unclassified non-coding RNA (658 nucleotides) under Hevea brasiliensis (rubber tree). The record is from RNAcentral. Lineage: Eukaryota; Viridiplantae; Streptophyta; Magnoliopsida; Malpighiales; Euphorbiaceae.
GUAAAAUUGGUCCAAAAAAAAAAAAAUCAACAACUAUAAAAGCACCUGUAUAUGGAGAUAUGGGUGAUGAAGGGGAGAGUAAGAGGCAAACCAAACCAGUUCCUAUUGAAUUCUCUUUUGUAUCUUUUUUUUUUUUUUUUGACCAAUUUUACAGCACAAAAACCACUACAAAAAUCACUCGGCCUCUCUCAACAUCAAGAAUGCCUACCCUGAACUGCUAUUACUGUCCUGAACCUUGAGAAUCAUCCUCAGCAGGAUUCUGCUGUUGGUGCUGCUGUUGCUGUUGCACUCUUGCCUGCCCCAUCUGCUGAUAAAUCUGACUCAAAGUCUGCGGGUUCAAAACCCCAAUAUGGCCAUCCUGUGAUAAACCAAGCUCCAAGCCAGGUAGCUGCUGGUUACUCCCACCCAAAAAUGAGGUAAAACUCAUGGGACCCAUACUGUUUCCUGGCAAGUCAAAACCAGGAAACUCAAUUUUUUGCAAAUAACUAGAACUCUCACUCCCCAAAUUUGUUGUUGCUGGACCAGUGGUAGAUGAUGACUGGAACCCAAACCCACCUACUGGGGGCCAUAAUCCUGUUGUUGCCACAUGAUGGGGUCGAGCUAAAUUGCCACCUAUCAUUGCCCAACUAGUCCUACUACUACUGGACCCACCUAAUUC